UACGUAGGGAGCGAGCGUUGUCCGGAAUUACUGGGUGUAAAGGGAGCGUAGGCGGGAUAGCAAGUAGAAUGUGAAAACGAUCGGCUCAACCGGUCGUGGCGUUCUAAACUGCUGUUCUUGAGUGAAGUAGAGGUAGGCGGAAUUCCUAGUGUAGCGGUGAAAUGCGUAGAUAUUAGGAGGAACACCAGUGGCGAAGGCGGCCUACUGGGCUUUAACUGACGCUGAGGCUCGAAAGCGUGGGGAGCAAACAGG
RNAcentral lists this ribosomal RNA (252 nucleotides) under uncultured bacterium. RNAcentral describes it as "partial 16S ribosomal RNA". It matches the Rfam family "Bacterial small subunit ribosomal RNA", at positions 524 to 776 of the family's 1533-position model. The record is from RNAcentral.